RNAcentral lists this long non-coding RNA (1671 nucleotides) under Sus scrofa (pig). Its description in RNAcentral is "lncRNA (ENSSSCG00040047139.1)". Lineage: Eukaryota; Metazoa; Chordata; Mammalia; Artiodactyla; Suidae. The record is from RNAcentral.
UUCAAGUUAUACAUAGGACUAAAAGAGCACAUGGCUUACCUAGGAGGUAAAGAUGAGAACAGCUUCUGCUUGCUGGGCACCGCCUUGAAAAGAAAUACUUUUGAUCGGCUUGGUGAGUAUUGACCUUCGGAUUACAUCAUUCGUGACUUUUUUUUUUUUUAAAUGUUAAACCUCUAUUGGAAAAAUACAUAUGUUGCUUUUAAAAUGGAAGCUUUCGACAGCAUUUAGAACCAUCCAUAUGUUAUCGGUUUAGGCCAAAUGAACCAGCCAAUUUGAGAUCUGAGUGUUGGAAAGCUUAGGUGUAUAGUCACUCGAAAUGUCUGUCGCAUCACAGCUUGUAGAAGUUAUUUCCAAACGUCCCUUCACUUACAUGAUGCUUCUCCGAGAAGAGGUCCUGUUCUCCUAACUGGGGCCAGCCAUCCUUUCCUGAUGCUCCUGUGUGUUAUGCCUGCCUCAGAAGCAUCAUGUUCCCUCUGUACUGACUGCAUCUUUUUUUAAAAAAAAAAGUUAAAAAAAGAUUUAUAUUGGAGUAUAGUCGGCCUGCCGUGUUGUGUUAGUUUCAGGUGGACAGCAAAGUGAUUCGGUUAUACACACACAAAUAUCCAUGCUUUUUCAGAUUCGUUUCCCAUAUAGGUUAUGACUGGAUAUUGAGUCAUGUUUGCUGUGCUAUGCAGUAGGUCCCCGCUGAUUAUCUCUUGUAUAUAUGGUCGUGUGCGUAUGUGAAUCCCAAACACCGAAUUUAUCCCUCCCCAACCCCCAACUGCAUCCUUUUUGGCGUCCUUCGGUUCCCAAGUACCUGGGCCCCCUCCUGGAGGGCACAGGACCUGCGGGUUCAGGGCCACGUGGAGGACCCCACCCGGCAGCUCUGAUGUCCUGUCUUGGAGAGUUGCACUGAGCGGGUCACUUCCAACCUGCCAUCAGGGUAGAGAAGGCUUGCUGGGAUGGGUGAUGGACUGGUUUCUCUGGGAAGAAACGCCAAAAAUGAUAUGGAUGGUACAGAGCUCUACUUGGGCUCUGUGCUUGAAGUCCAAGAAGAACAGGAGAAGUUUUCUCAUGCUCUUUCUGGAGUCCUCGUCAUUUCCUGGGAACCUCCAUAUGCCAAGGGAGCGGCCCUAGAAAAGGCAAACAAAGACAAAAAAAAAAGUUGUCUAUGACAGCUUUAUUCUCACCGAGAAUAAAGGCACGCAGCCUUCCCAUCGGAGUGCCCUCUUGAGAGGCUGCAUGCAUGUCUGCGCGAUUGUUUUCAUAAACUCAGAAUUUAGCUGCCAGCACUCAGGGCUCCCAUCGUGUGUAACCCGGUCUCUGCCCAGGAUCCGCCACGUUGUUCUCUCUCCCACUUGUCAAUAAAAGCCAAAGAUUUCUCUCACAGAAGCUCCGCAAUAAUUCCUGGGUCUGCAAGUCAUGUGCCCAAGGAAACUUUUUAAGUGGGGAAAAGGGUAGAAAUCCAGUUCAAACUCUUACAAGUUUUGGCGGAGGAGUCUAUGGACGAACAAAAGCUCCCUGGCAUCUUCUGGCAGACAUGUGAGAGAAGGCAGUGAUUGGAAUUAAUUUUUAGUGAGGGCUGCAUAUUUGAUAAUUGGUCUGAUUCACGCUAUUAUAUUCCUCUUCCUUCACCCACAGCAAAACAAGCUUAAUUUGAUUCAUCCCCUUAGGAAGAAAAAAAAAAAAAAA